Molecule: long non-coding RNA, 626 nt
Filed under: Nicotiana benthamiana
Lineage: Eukaryota; Viridiplantae; Streptophyta; Magnoliopsida; Solanales; Solanaceae
Description: long non-coding RNA (NBEN_LNC029956)
Source: RNAcentral
CAAUUUCUCCCUCCUUUUUUCUUACUUUAAAAUAAAAAUAAAUAAAAAUAAAUAAAACACACACUUUCACUUUUGUGUUAUCAUCAGUUUUCAUAUGACAGUGAACACAUGACUAAUAAAGCCUUACCAAAUACAACAACACCUAGCUUAAAAAAAGCUAAAGGCAACCAAAUCACCAAAAUCUUCACCACUGAAGCCAAAUCGUUUCUGUUUUCACCAUAUAGCAUCAACAUUUGGCUAACAAUAAAUCAAUUUCUGCCAAAAGAAUCAAAUGCUCUGUUUUUGUUUGAGAGAGUAACAAACACAGAGAAUGAAGAGAAGAAGUAUAGUAGGAGCUCUAGCUUGACCCAGUUGAGGAUUUUACAGAUCUCCUAUUGUACUGGUAAAUUUCUGCUUUCUUUAAUGUAUUAAUGGGAGUGUCAUUUUUGAGUCUCUUUGUUUGGUUCUAGUAUUUUGAACUAGUUCCGCUGUAUAGGGCUAGAAUUUCCACCCAAUAUAGAGACUGUGGUAUUAGAGUGGGCAGCGGGCACGUUUAUUAUGUAUUCUCAUUUUAAAUUUCUUUUUUCACUUUUAUGUGAUCGAGCCGAAAGCUAGAUCUGCUGAUGGUUCAUUGUGUGUUACAGUGA